This 382-nucleotide ribosomal RNA is filed under the name uncultured bacterium. Its description in RNAcentral is "bacterial SSU rRNA". It matches the Rfam family "Bacterial small subunit ribosomal RNA", at positions 367 to 762 of the family's 1533-position model. The record is from RNAcentral.
CGCAAUGGGCGAAAGUCUGACGGAGCGACGCCGCGUGAUUGAUGAAGCUUUUCGGAGUGUAAAGAUCUUUUAUGAGGGAAGAAGUUUAUUGACGGUACCUCAUGAAUAAGGGGCUCCUAAUCUCGUGCCAGCAGGAGCGGUAAUACGAGAGCCCCGAGCGUUAUCCGGAAUUAUUGGGCGUAAAGGGUGCGUAGGUGGUAGUGUUAGUCGUUUGUCAAACCCUUGGGCUUAACCCAAGAUCCGCGAACGAAACGGCACAACUAGAGAGUGUGGGGGGUAUAGGGAACUCAUGGUGUAGGGGUGAAAUCCGUUGAUAUCAUGGGGAACACCAAAAGCGAAGGCACUAUACUAACACAUGUCUGACACUCAAGCACGAAAGCGU